UGGACCGACACUUUGGGCGGCGCGUGGGGGCGCGUCCAGCCUCUGACCGGCGCGUGGUUGGUACGUACGCGUUCGUGUCGUCGAGUAGAUCGAUUCCGUAUAUUUAUACCUUAGUUUUGAGCAAACUAUGGGCAUUUUAUGUAGGUUUCCGUUAUGUACGUUAAUUAAUGAUAUUUAGUUAUUUCACAUAUAGGGGAAACUUAUUCCGAGGAUUUUCGAGGCCAAGCUAGGCUCGGGGGCUACGACCCAACGACGUACUUGUGAGUGGGCAGUUGUUUUAUACCUAUAUAUAUUUAUAGUUUCCAUAAAUGCGUAUUUACUUCAUUUUUACGCUUAUAUUGCCUAGUAUCAUUAUUGUGAAAUAAAUUGUGAUAAAUACUGUCAUAUGGUUGUGAUAUUACUGUCAUGACAUUCAUACAUACUUGUGUACAUGCUCAUCUUGCUGCACCCGGUGUUAGUACUCGCCCCAGGGCCAGGGCCAGUCCUUCACGUGUAUGUUCACAUCCGCACCGUUUGCUCACCUUGGAUCCAAGUUUAGGUGCCAGUCUUGUCGGGUAGAUUGCAUCAGGCAAUCCGACUUGUAUGUGAUGUGCUUUUGCACCAGUCUUCACGUGAUCGUAGUACUAGAGCAUAUUGAUUACACCCAGUCAUGUUCGUGUCAGAAACCAUCUGUCCGAACUUGUGUGUCAGCUUAGAUGGAUGAGCACUUAGUUAUAUUGAUUAUCACUUGAUUAUUAUUGUGGCAUAUGAUACAUCAUUGACUUGGCAUAAUUCUGGUUAUAUGGUUGAUAUAUAUAUAUAUUGGAUUUCAUACUUACGUAGUAUGUUUUGAGGAAACUAUACUUGUUUUACGGCGAGGGGUUAGUAUAUUCAAAGAUAAAGGUUUUCUUAUAAGCAUUGUUUUGCUGACCCACUCAACUUUGUUUUUCGCCCCUCCAGGACCUAAAUAAUUGUACUCUCAGUGGCAAUCGAGGAAUCACGGCAAUUCUGACAUUUCCUUCUGUUUAGACGUACGAACUUAUCACUACUAUGUAAUAAGUGUACUUUGGGUUGCUUUGACUAUUUUUUCGUAGUCUCACUGUCUAUUAUGCUCUGAAUAAUUGUAGUGGGUUCAACCCACGAAUUGCGCACUCUUUCACUGUUUAGUUUUAAUUUUAUUCACUUUUUACAUAACUUACCCUUAUGGUUACGUCACCUCACGGUGAUGGCCAGCAUGCUUCGACCUUUCCAGGUCGGGGUGUGUCACAUUAUCACUCUCUUUCUCUCUCUUUCUACUUCAAAAACAAAAAAUUCACACAUUUGUAUGUACCCAUAUGCUAGUAAAUAUAAUGGUAAGAAAUCAGUGAUUUGGUUAUGAAUCAUAUAAUUAAGAUGUGUUUUAGGUAAUUUUAUUUAUUUUUUAUUUUUU
This 1408-nucleotide long non-coding RNA is filed under the name Malus domestica (apple). Its description in RNAcentral is "long non-coding RNA (MDOM_LNC008110)". Lineage: Eukaryota; Viridiplantae; Streptophyta; Magnoliopsida; Rosales; Rosaceae. The record is from RNAcentral.